AAAGACCAUCAUGGCACUUUAUCGAAAUUGAUCAAAGUAUUGAUAACAAAGGAACCUUGAAAGAGUUCAGAGGUAAAUAUCUGGAGAGCCUAAAGAAAUAAAGACACACCUAGAGUAGGUAUGUCGAAAUUGCUCAAUACUAUUCUUAUGAUUUUCUCUUCUUCUAGUUGAGCUACAGACUCUAGUAUAGAGUCGAUGGGAAGG
This 204-nucleotide long non-coding RNA is filed under the name Elaeis guineensis (African oil palm). Its description in RNAcentral is "long non-coding RNA (EGUI_LNC042172)". The record is from RNAcentral. Lineage: Eukaryota; Viridiplantae; Streptophyta; Magnoliopsida; Arecales; Arecaceae.